This is a non-coding RNA of Pseudonaja textilis, 953 nucleotides long. NCBI's taxonomy places the organism in Eukaryota, Metazoa, Chordata, Lepidosauria, Squamata, Elapidae. The record is from RefSeq and is a predicted model, not a curated record.
UGAUGUUUCCGUCGAAGACAGACCAGAGACCACAAUCAUGCAUUGCUUUGAUCCAUGCUUGCCCUGUUGGAGGGGUCCCCAAGGGACCAGAACCAUCUGACCCACCUUGUAGGGGUGGGGGAAGAUGGGGAGACCUGCUGGGUUGAGGGGAACUGCAUCUCCCCUCCCUGGCUUGGUAUUUACUUCCCUAGAAGACAGGGAGAAGUGGCAGUUUAAUGUCCACCCUGAAGACGGGAAGCUGCCGGGACCUAAGUUUGUGCUGAAAAGUGGAAGUGAUGAGUGGUGUGUAACUGGAUAAAAGGCUUUGAAUAUUUUUUUUUGAAAACCCUGAAAAGCGGAAAGAAAGAGUCCUUGCUUGGAAGAAUGAUAGUGGCGAACGGAGAGUAAGAGGAAAAUAUAAGGAAAAGGAAAAACCGGAAAUAAAAGAAUUAUAUGAAAUCAGAGAUUAAAUUUGAACUAAUAUACAGAAUUGGACAUUAAUUAGGCAUUGGAUAAAAUGCUGGACUUAUUUGGAAUGGAUAAAAAUUAACAUUACUACUACGGAAAAGAGAAAAAAACUUUGAAAAGAAAGUGAUAUAGAGCAUCACCUAAUCGUUAAAGAUUUUCCUCUUUUAUGUUUUUAUGGAGAAUUACUGGUCGCAUAAAUAUUUGAAAGAGAGAAGAAAUGGAAUAAAAAAUUAUUAAUACAACAAAAACCCCAGAAGUGUUUUUUUUAAAGAGGGGACUAUAGUAAAAUAUAAAGGAAUACAAUAUUCUGGGACUGCUAGAGGUUGUCUGUGACAAGAAAAUAGAAGAAAGAGAAAGUGAGAGAAACAGAAACUUUUGGCAAGGACUAUAAUAGAAAAAUUUGAUCUUUAAUAAAGAAAUGGAAGAAAUAAGCAAAGAAUUUAAGUCAGAGCUGCAAACUGUGAGAGAUAUGUUAAAAGAAGGAAUGAAUCAACAGAUUAAAGAAA